Molecule: ribosomal RNA, 1237 nt
Filed under: metagenome
Description: bacterial LSU rRNA
Rfam family: Bacterial large subunit ribosomal RNA
Source: RNAcentral
UGAAUACGAGACGCUAAGGCGUCGAAGUAGUGUAUGUCAUACUUCCAAGAAAAGCUUGCACUGUCAUAGAUAAAAAACGCCUGUACCAUAACCGACACAGGUGGGUAGGUAGAGUAUACUAAGGGGCGCGAGAUAACUCUCUCUAAGGAACUCGGCAAAAUAACUCCGUAACUUCGGGAGAAGGAGUGCCUUAUUCGUAAGGUUGCAAUAACAAGAUCCAAGCAACUGUUUAUCAAAAACACAGGUCUCCGCUAAGUCGUAAGACGAUGUAUGGGGGCUGACGCCUGCCCAGUGCCAGAAGGUUAAAGAAGUUGGUUAGCAAUUGCGAAGCUGAUAACUGAAGCCCUGGUGAACGGCGGCCGUAACAAUAACGGUCCUAAGGUAGCGAAAUUCCUUGUCGGGUAAGUUCCGACCCGCACGAAAGGCGUAAUGAUUUGGAUACUGUCUCGGAGAGGGGCUCGGUGAAAUAGACUUGUCUGUGAAGAUGCGGACUACCUGCACCAGGACAGAAAGACCCUAUGAAGCUUUACUGUAACUUGAAAUUGAAAUUGGACUUUAUUCGCGCAGUAUAGGUGGGAGGCGUUGAUUAUAAUCUUGUGGGAUUAUUGGAGCCAUCAGUGAGAUACCACUCUUGUAAUGUUAGAUUUCUAACUUUGAAUCAUUAUCUGGUCAAAGAACAGUUUCAGGCGGGCAGUUUGACUGGGGCGGUCGCCUCCUAAACGGUAACGGAGGCGUACAAAGGUUUCCUCUGAACGGUUAGAAAUCGUAUCUAGAGUGUAAAGGCAUAAGGAAGCUUGACUGUGAGACCUACAAGUCGAGCAGGGACGAAAGUCGGUCUUAGUGAUCUGACGGUACUGAGUGGAAAGGCCGUCACUCAACGGAUAAAAGUUACUCUAAGGAUAACAGGCUGAUCUCCCCCAAGAGUUCACAUCGACGGGGAGGUUUGGCACCUCGAUGUCGGCUCAUCGCAUCCUGGGGCGGUAGUACGUCCCAAGGGUUGGGCUGUUCGCCCAUGAAAGCGGUACGCGAGCUGGGUUCAGAACGUCGUGAGACAGUUCGGUCCAUAUCCGGUGUAGGCGUUAGAAUAUUGAGAGGAGCCUUCUUUAGUACGAGAGGACCGAGAAGGACAUACCUCUGGUGUACCAGUUAUCGUGCCAACGGUAAACGCUGGGUAGCUAUGUAUGGAGUGGAUAACCGCUGAAAGCAUCUAAGUGGGAAGCCCACCUCAAGAUAAGUA